AGCAGCCGCGGUAAUUCCAGCUCCAAUAGCGUAUAUUAAAGUUGUUGCAGUUAAAAAGCUCGUAGUUGAAUUUCGGGGUUAGUAGGUUGGUCGUGCCACCGGUAUGUACUGGCUCUACUGAUCCCUCCUUCUUGUAGAACCGUAAUGCCAUUAACUUGGUGUUGCGGGGAAACAGGACUGUUACUUUGAAAAAAUUAGAGUGUUUAAAGCAGGCUAACGCUUGAAUACAUUAGCAUGGAAUAAUGAAAUAGGACGCUCGAUCCUAUUUUGUUGGUUUCUAGGAUUGACGUAAUGAUUAAUAGGGAUAGUUGGGGGCAUUAGUAUUCAAUUGUCAGAGGUGAAAUUCUUGGAUUUAUUGAAGACUAACUACUGCGAAAGCAUUUGCCAAGGAUGUUUUCAUUAAUCAAGAACGAAAGUUAGGGGAUCGAAGACGAUCAGAUACCGUCGUAGUCUUAACCAUAAACUAUGCCGACUAGGGAUCGGAUGAUGUUAAUUUUUAAUGACUCAUUCGGCGCCUUAC
RNAcentral lists this ribosomal RNA (520 nucleotides) under uncultured Glomus. RNAcentral's name for it is "SSU rRNA". It matches the Rfam family "Eukaryotic small subunit ribosomal RNA", at positions 569 to 1091 of the family's 1831-position model. Lineage: Eukaryota; Fungi; Glomeromycota; Glomeromycetes; Glomerales; Glomeraceae. The record is from RNAcentral.